This 290-nucleotide long non-coding RNA is filed under the name Homo sapiens (human). Its description in RNAcentral is "uncharacterized LOC101927082 (LOC101927082)". The record is from RNAcentral. Lineage: Eukaryota; Metazoa; Chordata; Mammalia; Primates; Hominidae.
CAGAUACGUGUCCUAAGGCAUUCAGCUGAAUGUUUGGGUUUUAGGGAAGGAAGGAUAUUCCAUGUGCAACAUUCAGUAUUGGAUGAUCUGGAUUCAGUACAGAAAGCCUGGACUUUUGAGCCUAAACAGGAUCUGAAGCAGAAGGAUGAAAAACAGAUCAACCAACAACAAGAAUCAACCAUCUUGGUUUCUCAUUUGUCAAUAAUGGGCAAUAGUCCUGCCCACAUAUCAGGGAAUGUAUAUGCCAUAAUUAAAUACUAAUGCUUCUAUCUUCUAAAAAAAAAAAAAAA